Molecule: ribosomal RNA, 210 nt
Filed under: Crematogaster stollii
Lineage: Eukaryota; Metazoa; Arthropoda; Insecta; Hymenoptera; Formicidae
Description: partial large subunit ribosomal RNA
Source: RNAcentral
GAAUUUUAUAUAAAAAUUAUUAGGGGUUUUAGUUUUUAGAAAUAAUUAGUUAUAUUUAAUUGGGAGGAUUAUUAAAUUAGAGUAACUUUAAUUAGAUUUUAAACAUAAAUAAAUGAAUUUAAGAAUGGUUAUUAAAUUAAGAAAGAAUUAAUUACCUCAGGGAUAACAGCGUAAUAUUUUUGGAGAGUUCAUAUUAAUAAAAAUGGUUGC